UACGGAGGGGGCGAGCGUUGUUCGGAUUUACUGGGCGUAAAGCGUGCGUAGGUGGCUUCCCAAGUAAGAAGUGAAAGCCCAGGGCUUAACCCUGGAAUUGCUUUUUAAACUGGGUCGCUAGAAUUUAGGAGGGGCAGAUGGAAUUCCGAGUGUAGAGGUGAAAUUCGUAGAUAUUCGGAGGAACACCAGUGGCGAAGGCGGCUCACUGGUCCAUUACUGACGCUGAGGUGCGAAAGCGUGGGGAGCAAACAGG
This 253-nucleotide ribosomal RNA is filed under the name uncultured bacterium. RNAcentral's name for it is "partial 16S ribosomal RNA". It matches the Rfam family "Bacterial small subunit ribosomal RNA", at positions 524 to 776 of the family's 1533-position model. The record is from RNAcentral.